Molecule: ribosomal RNA, 486 nt
Filed under: uncultured bacterium
Lineage: Bacteria
Description: partial 16S ribosomal RNA
Rfam family: Bacterial small subunit ribosomal RNA
Source: RNAcentral
AUUGAACGCUGGCGGCAUGCCUUACACAUGCAAGUCGAACGGCAGCACGGGUGCUUGCACCUGGUGGCGAGUGGCGAACGGGUGAGUAAUACAUCGGAACAUGUCCUGUAGUGGGGGAUAGCCCGGCGAAAGCCGGAUUAAUACCGCAUACGAUCUACGGAUGAAAGCGGGGGACCUUCGGGCCUCGCGCUAUAGGGUUGGCCGAUGGCUGAUUAGCUAGUUGGUGGGGUAAAGGCCUACCAAGGCGACGAUCAGUAGCUGGUUUGAGAGGACGACCAGCCACACUGGGACUGAGACACGGCCCAGACUCCUACGGGAGGCAGCAGUGGGGAAUUUUGGACAAUGGGCGAAAGCCUGAUCCAGCAAUGCCGCGUGUGUGAAGAAGGCCUUCGGGUUGUAAAGCACUUUUGUCCGGAAAGAAAUCCUUGGCCCUAAUACGGUCGGGGGAUGACGGUACCGGAAGAAUAAGCACCGGCUAACUACGUG